RNAcentral lists this unclassified non-coding RNA (224 nucleotides) under uncultured Rozellomycota. RNAcentral's name for it is "uncultured Cryptomycota sequence contains ITS2". Lineage: Eukaryota; Fungi; Rozellomycota. The record is from RNAcentral.
AACGCAACUUGCGCCUUUUACGAGGCAUGUUUGUUUGAGUGCCGCAAUCCUCUGCAGCAAUGCGAUUUGAUUCGUGUCUUUGUUGACCGAGUUUAAACAAAGCUAGAGGAUGGUCAGUUUGACCUAGUCCGAGUGCUAAGCAUUCUUGGGCCUAGGCUGGAUUGAUCAUUAAAUCUAUCUUUAUUUUUGGCCUCAAAUCAAGCAAGACUACCCGCUGAACUUAA